GUAGUCCACGCUGUAAACGAUGAUUACUAGGUGUGGGUGGACUGACCCCAUCCGUGCCGCAGUUAACACAAUAAGUAAUCCACCUGGGGAGUACGGCCGCAAGGUUGAAACUCAAAGGAAUUGACGGGGGCCCGCACAAGCAGUGGAGUAUGUGGUUUAAUUCGAAGCAACGCGAAGAACCUUACCAGGUCUUGACAUCGAGUGACGUAUCCAGAGAUGGGUAUUUCCUUCGGGACACGAAGACAGGUGGUGCAUGGUUGUCGUCAGCUCGUGUCGUGAGAUGUUGGGUUAAGUCCCGCAACGAGCGCAACCCUUGCUAUUAGUUGCUACGCAAGAGCACUCUAAUAGGA
This 350-nucleotide ribosomal RNA is filed under the name uncultured Ruminococcus sp. Its description in RNAcentral is "bacterial SSU rRNA". It matches the Rfam family "Bacterial small subunit ribosomal RNA", at positions 790 to 1148 of the family's 1533-position model. Lineage: Bacteria; Bacillati; Bacillota; Clostridia; Eubacteriales; Oscillospiraceae. The record is from RNAcentral.